This 253-nucleotide ribosomal RNA is filed under the name uncultured bacterium. Its description in RNAcentral is "partial 16S ribosomal RNA". It matches the Rfam family "Bacterial small subunit ribosomal RNA", at positions 524 to 776 of the family's 1533-position model. The record is from RNAcentral.
UACGUAGGGGGCAAGCGUUGUCCGGAUUCAUUGGGCGUAAAGAGCGUGUAGGCGGCCAGGUAGGUCCGUUGUGAAAACUCGAGGCUCAACCUCGAGACGUCGAUGGAAACCAUCUGGCUAGAGUCCGGAAGAGGAGAGUGGAAUUCCUGGUGUAGCGGUGAAAUGCGCAGAUAUCGGGAGGAACACCGGUGGCGAAGGCGGCCCCCUGGUUGGAUACUGACGCUGAGACGCGAAAGCGUGGGGAGCAAACAGG